Long non-coding RNA from Ailuropoda melanoleuca (giant panda), 676 nucleotides. RefSeq lists it as uncharacterized. The record is from RefSeq and is a predicted model, not a curated record. NCBI's taxonomy places the organism in Eukaryota, Metazoa, Chordata, Mammalia, Carnivora, Ursidae. The transcript is spliced from 3 exons.
CAUGGCUGAAGCCUGUAGCAGCUGUUACUUUCUGAGAUCCCUUGGAGAAAAAUUGCCUAGGGGACAUCUGUUCCCUUUCUACAACAGUGGGAAGAGUAAAAUCCAAGUCUCCUAAGGCGACGGGGGCUGCUGAGGGGUUGUGCUAUGAGUCAUCCUCACAUCAAGACGAAAGCUGCUGCAGCCACCAUCUGGAGGUCUGCUGCUUGCCCUGGCAGAGGCAAAGAGGACAUGCCACUCUGCUCACAUGCCAUUGGUCAAAACUGGUUCCUUUAAGACCACUAGAUCUCCCAAAGACUUCCUGAGAAGAGACCAGCUGUGGACAACAGGAUGGCAGACUGCGUGGGAGGAGUCAGAGUGGGCCUGCUCUCAUCAACAGAAGCUUGGAAGCUAGAAUAAUACCUUUAGACGAAGACCUAGGGUUUAGAAGACUGUUGGAUGGAGGUGACAGAAAUUUCCAAAAGGAAGUGGAUGAGAAUUAAGGCUGUGCGGCAGGUUCCAGAAGCAAGUGGCCCCAUCUGGAGCUGGGGAACGGCGGCCUCCAGCGGCUGAGGGUGGGUGCCUCUGGAGAGUGAGGAUCAGCAAUGAGGAGGCAGGGGCAGAGAGAUGCUCAUUUGCCUCAUAGGCCUUUUUGUGUUUUAAAAUAAUGUUUGUGUGCAUUCUUUUGUUAAAAUAAAAA